Long non-coding RNA from Siniperca chuatsi (mandarin fish), 6192 nucleotides. RefSeq lists it as uncharacterized. Lineage: Eukaryota; Metazoa; Chordata; Actinopteri; Centrarchiformes; Sinipercidae. The record is from RefSeq and is a predicted model, not a curated record. The transcript is spliced from 3 exons.
AAAACGCUUCUGUUGGGAAUCAAUGGGACUCCACAGAUGAAUUUGUUCAUUUGUGUGACUUAAACUGAACUUUUAUUCUGAAACUGAGCCAUUGAACUCAGUUUCCCACAAGCCUCCAGACUUCACACCUGUAUGUGAACUCUGCCCCUGGACCCAGCUUCCUGUUACUAUUGGCCAGUCUGACUUGUGACCGGUGAUGUCACCAGGUCAACAAAAACCCUAGCUCACGCCAUUGUUCUCUCUUGAAAAGUAGGAGAGAAGAGUGCCUGAUUAGUAGGAUUAGACUGGGACACACUAAAUUUAAUUCAUCUUUACACCUCAUUGGGAAGCAUCCAAGCAGAGCAUGUGAUGUCUGCAAUAAAAUGGAGACUGUGGAUCAUAACUGAACUGCCGGCUCAUACAGAAAUGAACAGAAGCAAUUCAUAUCAUUGAAAAGAGAUUUUGUCGGGUUUGAAAACCUGUCUAAUGGAAAUCUCUGCUAAUCCUGCUGCUGGCCUCUGCAGACGACUCCACCACUGUAAGAGAAACUCCCCUGUCCAACGGAGGGGGAGGAGAUUAACAAAAUGAAUAGACAGAAGAAGAGAGAGAUGCAGGUAAAGGACAGUUAGAGGAUGGGAGGAAAGGAUGCACAAGUGGGGGAGGAAGAAGAAAUACUCCUCACACAACGCAGUUUAAGCAGUAGAUCGCAACAUCUUUUUUUAUUUAAAUUUGUGUUUUGCAUCCUGCUGGUACGUCGCUGACUGCCUUCAGUUCACGAUCUGCCUUAUCAUGGAGGCUUUUGUUUUAUUUAAUAAUCAGAAUCAGAAUAAAAAUGCUGCAAGUAAAACUGACCAAUUCUGAAAGAAAUGGCUAUCUAUUUGAAAAGAAUGGUAAAAAUAAAAAACAUGACAGCCAUUUGAUUGCUGUGGUGCACGGGACAUUAGCUGCUGCCGUUAGUACUGUCUUUUCACUUUAAUGCCCAGUAAUAAUCCAAGCUCCCAAUCCAGCCUAGUUAGUUAGCCAGCUAUGUCGUAGCGUAUGCAGCUGUUAAACUAAAUACAAGGAGAGGUUAGUUACCUUGUCUGUCCACUGUGUUGUGUUUAUUCACAGCAGCCUGUAGUUGGUCGAUUCAGAAUUACUUUGACAUUGUUGUUGCUCUAGCUAACUGGCUUUGGUAACAGCCGUUGAGCUUGCUUUCUUAAGAAAGACUGGGAGCAUGCAAUUAGCUGAAAGAUAAGGUGGCAGUAACCGGUGACAUCCAAGAAUGUAUUAAGGAGAACUGGAUACUAGGGCUGAACAAUUAAUUGAAAUAUUAUCGAAAUUGCAAUAUGCAAUAUCCAAGUGCAAUUUCCAAAUCGCAGGAACUGCAAUUUUUUGAUAAAGGUAAAAUGUGUUACAACAUACCUUUUUUUUUUUUUAAAGAUUGUUUUUUGGGCUCUUUGCCUCCACUUGACAGGAACAGCUGAAAAGAGACAGGAAAUGUGGGAGACAGAGAGAGGGGAUGACAAUUCCCAGUAAAAUUGUGACUCAUAUCGCAAUCCCAAUAUCUGUUAAAAUAAUCGCAAUAUGAUUUUUUUUGCAUAUCGUUCAGCACUACUGCAUACCACGUUCAAAGUUGGCACCCCAUUCAUUACUAUGAAAGUUGCUGACGAGGCACAUACACCGAACAAGUCUCAGCGGGCUUGCUCAAGCUUCCGCGAUUUUGGAGGAUGCUCACUAGAGACAUUCUCCAGCCGAGCCGGCUGAAGCCUAUUGGCUUCCCGCACACACAAAUUCCAAAUAUAUAUAUAUGUUAUAUCUAAUUCUGACAGUACAAAGAGUAAUUUCAUAGUAUUUGUGACGCUCAGAAAAAUGUAUUCACCAUUUCACAGCCACUCCUUUUCCAAUGAUUGUGCAUGGGAAAAAUUGUUUAUGGGCCAGUGUGCGUCAAGUAAUGCUGAUGGAAGCUGCAAUACCAUUGUAGGCUCUACGCCAAAAUCGCCUAAACAGCCUAGUGCUGUUCCUGAGGGCUUGGUGACAACACCACUGUUAUGAAAAGUGACAUGAUGUAAAAAGUGACAUUAUGAAUAGUGAAAUUAUGAAAGAAAAACACUAAGAGUCUACAGCCAUGCUAUGUUGCAUCCAUCCAUCCAUCACCAAAGUCAAGUAAGAUUCAUUCACUGGGGAUCAUGAAUGUUUGCACAAACUUUCAUGGCAAUUCAUUCAAUAGUUGUUGAGAUAUUUUAGUCUGGACAAAAGGGGGGGACCGACCCACAGACAGACAGACAUUAACAGAUAUGCCGCUACCAUGGCAAAAAAAUUACAUUAUGAAAUAAAAGAAUCAGAAUCAGGUUUAUUGCCAAGUAAGUUUUCACAUACAAGAACGAGAAAAUAAGAAAAUAAAAAACAAAAGUACUGCAAAAGUCAAGAAACAUAAAGUAGGGCUGAAAUGAUUCCUCGAGUCACUCGAUUACUAAAAAUCAUCAGUUCAAAUAAUUUGUAUCAAAGCUUUGUUUAAUCCAUAUAAUUACACAGAGCGCACUGUGUUUCGCACGGAUGAUUAUUACUGUUACACAACGCGCUUACGCUGUGUAUGAUCAGAGACGGUUCAAAGCAUCUUUGGUGGGAUUUGAGAGCGCGGAUUACAAAAAGAAGGAAGAGAGAGAAAAUAGAGAAGGGAUAAGACAGGACAGAGAAAGCGACAGAAAGUGUCCACGAAAACUCUGUAUAGUGUGUCUAUUGUAAAAGUGAACGAGCCUACCACAAUAGCACGACGUCUAUGCUUCAGCAUCUCAACAGAAAGCAUAACAUUACAGUCUUUGCAUCCAGUCCACAGAGCGGACCCGACACAAGGUAUAUGAAGGCUAGUAAAGAAUGUAGGCUACGUUAAUUAUGGCUAUAUGUAAUGGCUAGUUAACAACGUAAAUCAAUGUGGUGGCUAGUUAUAAUGUCCUUAAGUUAGCUAGGUUUUGUUCAAGAUGUUAACCACAGACAAUAAAAUGCUGCAGUCAAUUUGUGAAAGCCUGAGCUUCAUUUAUGUUAUUUGCUAUUAUGAUAGUUACAGUUCCUGUCCACUCGUUUUUGCCUCCUACAUAUGCCACAAAUAAGACAGUAAAGGCUUACGUUAUGCCUGAGUUGUAGUUAGGCUGAAACUUGUAGUUCUGAAAGGUGUUUGUUUUUGCAUUUCAGAUUUUUAUUUCUUUAGAACCCAGAAUGUAAUAUGGCACUUAAAUGCACUAAAAGGGUUUAGUUUUUACAGAUAAUUUUAUUGUAUGCAAUUUAACCAAUAAAAAUUUUGAUAUUUCUAAAAAGUAAACCAAUUAGUUGUUCAUUUGAAAGAGACCUGUCUUAUUUUCUCUUGUGCAUAUUUACUAUUGCUCCUUAAUAAAGCAAAAGUAUUUCUUAACCGAUUACUUGAUUAAUCGAUGGAAUAAUAAGUAGAAUACUCGAUUUCUAAAAUAAUCGAUAGCUGCAGCCCUAUUAUGAAGUACAAAGAAUAUGUGCAAUGUACAGAGAUAAUAAUCCAAAAGAUGUGCAUUAAUGCAACGUAUUGAUAAGUGGAGACUGUACGUUAAUGUAACGUGUAGUGUGAGUAAGAGUAAGAGUCUGCGUCAGUGAGGGUCCCAGGCCUUGUUGAUGAGACCGGCUGCAGACGGGAAGAAACUGUUCUUGUGGCAUGAUUUUGAUGAUGGUUUUGGUACUGAUGGACAGCAGACUCCUGCCAGACGGGAGUGUCUCAAAAAGUUUGUGUCCGGGGUGGGAGGGGUCAGCCACAAUCUUUCCUGUUUACCUCAGGGUCCUGGAGGCGUACAGGUCCUGGAGGGAAGGUAGAAUGCAGCCAGUCACCUUCUCUGUGGAGCGAAUGAUAUGCUGCCUUCUGCCCUUGCCCUUGGCAGUGGCAGCAGCUUUUUUGGUGAGGGAGCUGAUGUUCAGCUCCCACUUGAGGUCCUGAGUGACAAUGGUGCCCAGGAAGCAGAAGGACUCCACAGUGUCGAUUGGCGAACCACACAGGGUGAUGGAGGUGGGUAGGGCUGGGUUCUCCCUGUAAUCCACAACCAUCUCCACUGUCUUAAGAGCAUUGAGAUCCAAGUUGUUCUGACUGACCUGUAGGCAGACUCGUCCCCAUCAGAGAUGAGCCCAAUGAGGGUGGUGUCAGAGACAUGCUGCACCAGCUUCAUGUGCUGCCUCCUGUCAGACAGGAAGUCUGUGAUCCACCUGCAGGUGGAGUCAGGCACACUCAGCUGGGGAAGCUUGUCCUGCAGCAAAGCAGUAGUAAUAGCUAAAAUCCACAAACAGGAUCCUUGGUUUUUUGGGGAUGGAGAUGAUGGUGGAGGUCUUGAAGCAGGCUGGUACAUGGCAUGUCUCCAGUGAGGUAUUCAAGAUGUCUGUGAACACUGGAGACAGCUGAAAAGCUUCAGGAUUGAUGUAGAGAGUCGUCAUUGUGGUAGGGGAGGAAGGGGCCCUCUGAGGUGGGCAACUGUGGAGAGGCCCAGCCCCUGUUGUGGUGGGGGAGGUGGAGCUGGUGGGCGGGAGCUGGUGGAUGGAGUCAUGGGGGAUGGUGUCAAAAAGUCCAGGGCCAUUUUUAAUUCCCAGAAAAGUGGGAAAUAAAUCUGCUGAAGUUGUUUCCCUGUUAAGCCCCAGGGCCACCAGGGCCACCAGGGCCCCCACUUGUACAAUGUUUUGUCAUAAUAACUAGAAAAUGAAAAUGCAAGGCAGAUUCUGGAGUGCAUCUUUUUUCAUGUAAUUGUGAUGCAUUACAUGAAACUAUGCAAUAGUGACUAUUCAAAUAUAUAAAUACUUAACAUGCAUAAUAAUCAGGCCUCCUGCGCACUAACCAUCUGGAGGAAAGGCAUGUUGGAAGCAUGUGGCCCUUUGUCCUCUCAGAGCUAGAGGAAAAAGAGUCAGAGAUGAGAGCUCGUAUUUGAACUGAACUCAGGAAGCAGCAGGAGCGUCUGCUAACAGUUACACUGCAAUUAGUCAUGCAGCAGGUUAAGUGAGCGCUGAGUGAGAUCAAGUCUGGGGAUUUCUCUGAGCUCUACCCCUGAAGGCAUCGCCUUCCAACUAAAGCUUGCUGCUCAGAGGGAAGAUUCACUAUGAGAGUAUUUGUGUGAGUGUAUACAUGUGGACCCAAUGGGACCCUCUAAGCCUAUGAUUCAUGGGGAACAUUUACAUUCUUUAUGCAUCACAAAACCUAAAGGAUAAACCGCCUAUGGAAUCCAAGAUAGAGAAAAAAUGAGAAAAAAACAGAGCUCUUAGAGACGACAGUUUUGUUUGGAGUAGAAUACUUGACGGGAGAUGGAGAGCAGUGGCGUGGUGUGACUUUUCCACUAGGUGGGGGUACGGCCUUAGAGGUAGCUCUGUGUAUUUUGGCCAUGAGCAUGCAUUAUUUACAACUACUACUAAUAAUAAUAAUAACACACUGCACCCAUAAAAAGAAAAAGAUUAAGUUGUAGCUCACAUUUGUUUAGGCAUUAAGAAUGUCAAAACAAUUAAAAAAUAUUGUAUUUUGUUAAUGAAGUGUGUGUUUAGAUUAUAGACUAUCAGCAUUUGCAGGAAAAAGUGGAAGAAAAGCCCUGUCACUGGAAUAACAUUUAACAUAAUAACAUCUGGACCGCAAAUAGGCUACAUGAAAUCUUUACCACUUAUGGAUAAAAAUUAAUCUGAGCCCUACUGUGUGGUGCACUUAACCUGUCAGGUGUCCCAGUUUGACAGAGAGCAUCAUAGCACAGAGACAGCACUAGUGAAAAUUACAAAUGACAUUCUAAUUGCAUCAGACAAUGGACUUGUCUCUGUACUUGUCUUGUUAGAUCUUAGUGCUGCAUUUGGCACCAUUGACCAUCGCAUCCUAUUACAGAGACUGGAUCAUAUAAUUGGCAUGAAAAUAACCGCACUAAGCUGGUUUAAAUCCUAUCUAUCAGACCAAUUUCAGUUGGUACAUGUUAACGGUGAGUCCUCUGUGCACGCCAAAGUUAGUCACGGAGUUCCACAAGGUUCUGUGCUUGGACCAAUUCUAUUCACCUUGAUAUAUGCUGCCUUUAGGCAAUAUCAUUAGGAAACACUCCAUUAACUUUCAUUGUUAUGCAGAUGAUACCCAAUUAUAUCUAUCAAUCAAGCCAGAUGAAACUGAUGAAAUCAGUUAGCUAAACUUCUAGCAUGCGUUAAGGACAUAAAUGGAUGACCUGCAAUUUUCUCAUGUUAAACUCUGACAAAACUGAAGUUAUUGUACUUGGUCCC